Molecule: transfer RNA, 71 nt
Filed under: Canis lupus familiaris (dog)
Lineage: Eukaryota; Metazoa; Chordata; Mammalia; Carnivora; Canidae
Also listed under: 1 other name
Rfam family: tRNA
About the family: Transfer RNA (tRNA) molecules are approximately 80 nucleotides in length.
Source: Rfam by way of RNAcentral
AGCUGCCUGGCUCAGCUGGUAGAGCGUGUGACUCGACCUCAGGGUUGUGGGUUCAAGCCCCAUGUUGGCUG